GAUUAGAUUCUUCUCCAUAGCUUGCAUUUGCUCCACCUGCUCUAUGUUUGACUCUUUUUCAUGCUGAAAUGUAACGCUACAUUUAAAAAAAUUCAAAAAAUAAUCAGAGCCUACUUCUUAGCAACUAUAUGGUGGUGGAAAACACCACAAAUGAAAUAUGAAACAAAGAGAUCUUGAGGUAAGCAACAUGAUUAUUUUGCUUGCUUGAACAUUUGCAUAACUUAUGACUCUGGGCUCAUAGAAUAAUUUUUUGAUAAUCAAUAUAUAAAUCUGGUGCUAUCCAGGCUUAUUACAACUAUUUCCAUCUAUUGAUUACUUAAAACAGCAUGCCACAUUAAAGCUGGAGCAUGGGGCAAUAAUAACAAAUGACAUAUUCAACAUGGCAGUUUUAUUAACAGUUACCAAGCAGUUUUAUAAUUCAGAUGAACAAUAGAGAAAAUAAAUCAUAUUUAAAAGUUAUGGAGCUCUUGCAAGAAUUUGAAUAACCAAAUGUAGUUACCAAGUCCUGUGGUAUUUUUUAGGACAAACACCAUCAUAUUAAUAACAAAACAUUUUACCACAAUAACAUUGAAUAUUGCAGCAAAAUGUUUUCAAUAUAAUAACUUACUGAAGGGUUCCAAACACCAAGCAACAAAAUGAAACAACAAGAUAACAGAGUGUAAUACCUAAUCUUUAGCCGGCAUAAACAAAGUCCAGUGUUUUUUACAAAUCCAGAACAAAACAAGUUGGCCCAGAAUACAAGGCCCAAAAUACAAGAACAGUGGCCCAAAUCCACUGGCCCAAAAACAGUCAGAAACCCUAGGGUUUUAGGGGUGAACUCGCGCUGCACGGCCGCCUCGCACUCCUCACGCAACCAAGAGCCGAAUCUUCACCUGCAAGGAAUAAACGCAAGAAAGGAAAUAAAAUCAAAUAUUUGCAAGAUCAAAUCAAUAUGGACAGAUUUAUUUCCUUAUAUUUUUUCAUUACGGCUAUAAAAUAGCCCUGGACAUACUGUAGUAUGGAUCCGAAAAAUCAAAUAAAAAAGGGAGAUUAUUUUCACAGCAAAAACUGAGUUCAACAUUGAGAGCAAAAAUCAACCCGAAAAGGUUAACAUCUACAAUUUUAUUUAUUUAUUUUUUAAAUCUACCGACGUUAUUACCUUUUUUUACCUAUAUUUGAAUAAAACGAGUAAAAGGAAGACAGAAACAACCUGUAUUGGUGUCCGGAGCGCCGUGGAUGGCCGACGUAUUGGGUUGCGGUUUCGUCAUAAAUCUUAAACAAUUGAAUAUUCUUUUAAAAUUUAUCACACAAAUCUUUUGGACAAACUCAUCUUGAAGAAAUAAAAUAUCGUGCCCUAAUGUAUUGGGUGUGAUGUUUUCUGUUUCAAAAUGAGGGAGUCCUAAUAAAUAAUUUAAUUUAAUUAAGGAUCAUAUUUUUAACUCUCGAUGUUAAGACAUUAAUUCAUCAAUUUGGUACCAAUUUUUGGGCGUUACGAGGGUGCUAAUCCUUCAUCAAAUGUAACUGACUCCUGAACCCAUUUUUCUAAAGACUUAUAGACCAAAGUCAUUUUAGGUUAUCAAAUCACACCUUAAUAAAAGAUUGGUGGCGACUCCAAAUUUUCAUCGACAACUAAAUUUUUGUUUUUUUUUCAAACAUAAAAAUGGUUUCCACAGCUUGGUGACUCCGCUAGGGACUUUUUUUUUAAAUAAUAGAGUCGAGCCACAAAGUUGAUUAAUUUUUGUUUUAGGGUCGAGAAAAUAUUUUUUAAAAAAAUUUCAUGAUAUCCUUUUGCAUUCAUUAUAUUCUUGCUUAAUUGAUCUAAGUUAUUUUUGCAUUAUACAUUACAUGAGUUGAAUGAUUUUACCCUUCUAAGUGGGAGUGAGAAACUAUUCCUUCGUGAGGUUUUCACCUCCGUAUAAGAUAGUUGAUCGCUUUCAGGAUACAUCUAUACCUAUGCUUUCAUGAGAUUUUUAUCUCCAUAUAGUCAUAGAGAAAAUGUAUUCCCCUGAACCGAACUUGAUCUAUAUGAGCCUAUAAUGGGUGAAGAUUAAGGAAUCUGCUGGUUCGAGUACCUUUGCCCUAGAAGCCGAACCUCAUAUAAUGAACUUUAGGAAUCCAUCCUAGGUAAAGCUACACUAAACCCUAGUAGAUACCUGAAUAGGUGUUUUCACUAUUUCUUGAUUAUAUUCUAUGUUUAUAUGAUACUGACUUUUCGUGUUUUAUUUUGAUUGCAUGUCAUGGCAUUUCAUUUCAUUAUAAAAGGCGUCAGUUCAUAUUCAGUUGCUAGAUAGAAAGCUUAUCAUGGAAAAAGGGUUUUUUGAUAAAGUGGAGGAUAAUGCGGCUGUCUGAACUUGGUCUGAAACAACACAGUAAGAAAAAUGUGAUUGUUUGGCUGACAGGUAUGUAUCAGAAUUAUGAGACUUUACGCCCAUCAGUGUAACUCAAAACAAUUUGCAAGAAUUGAAGGAAAUCUGAGAUCAGUGGAAUGACGAGGUUAGACAGUUAUUUUAUAAUAAUUAUGGGGAUUUGCCUUAUUUGCUUGAUGUGAAGGUAGACAAGCAUUUGUUUCGAGCCCUCGCCUAGUUUUGGAAUCCUGCUUACAGCUGCUUUACAUUUGGGAAGGUCAAUUUGGUGCCUACGAUAGAAGAAUAUGUGGCUUUACUCCGAUGUUCAAAGUUUCAAGUGGACAGGGUCUACUCGAGAGUGGUAAAUGUACCAACCUUUUCAAAGAAGCUGAUGAGUAUAACAGGGAUGAGUGAGCAGUGGGUUGCUGCACGAAUUAAGCAAAAGUGGGAUAAUAAGUGCGUUCCUUGGAGAAGUUUAAAAGAUGCAAUUCUAACGCACCCAGACGUGAGGAAGAGGCUAGAUGUAUUUGCUUUAAGUAUAUAUGGCUUGGUUGUCUUCCCCAAAGCCUUGGGGCAUGUGGAUGAAGCAAUCACCGAUUUAUUCGACCGGCUUGAUAAGAAAGUUACACAGAUUCCGACAAUUUUGGCAGAAACCUUCAGGUCAUUGAGUGCAUGCCGAAAAGCAGGUGAGGGUAGAUUUAUUGGAUGUGCAUAGCUUCCACUCGCAUGGUUUCACAGUCACUUUUGGAAAGUUGAUCGGGUUUUCUAUAGGGUUUUCUCUGAAAAUUACUCGCCACUAAAAGAGAUAGUAGCCACACCGAGUAGUGACGACAUUUCGAAGGAGAAGUGGAUGGCAAUUCUUCAGAAUCUUCAAGAGGAAGAUGUCGAGUGGAGGGCUCCAUGGUUGCUUCCAGAUGAGAUCCUGUAUAGGUGCGGUAAUUUCGAUUGGGUUCCACUGCUUGGAAUUUGGGGAGCUAUUGGAUAUGCCACAUUAUUGGUGCUAAGGCAGUAUAGGCCAAGGCAAUUUAUACCUGUAGGCCAAGGCAAUUUAUACCUGUAACCCAAGGUAUAGCUGAUUGUGAAUUUUCGUACAGAGAUGACGGUUAUAGAAAGAAAAUUCAAGAGAUGUCUAGUGCGUGAAAAAAGACUCGCCGAAUGAAGAGGUUAGCUGUGGGUCCGAUGACAACUCCUGAGUAUAAUGAAUGGUGGGGUAGGACUAUCAACGACAAUAUACCCAAGGUAAGUCAGGAAAACGGCCAGUCAAUAGAGGAGCAUUUGUGAGUCAUCCCUUCUGAGUUGGAAAUUAUAAGACAAGAUUUUGAAACAAGAAAUGCAGAUUUAGAAAAGAAGAUAGAGAAAAUGGAGGAAGAAAAGACGAACUUGAGAUUAGACAUAGACGUUCAGAAGCUCGAAACUGAGAAAUUAAGGAAAGAGAAAAACAAGGCUGAGGAGGAGUUGGAUAGUCUUAAGAUGGAUGAUAAAAAGUUGCGUCUGUCAAUGAGAACUGCCAGGCUGGGAAAAACUUCAGCCGAUAGAUGAGAACAAAAAUUCCAAGAAAUUAGAUGCGAAAAGAGGCCUUAGAAAGGAGUUUGUCAGAUAGCCAAAGAGAAAAAGGUGAAUUAAAAGAUAGGGUGACCGAGUUGGAAAGAUCUCUUCGUCAGUUUCGAAAUCGAAAUUCCGUAAUAGAGUUGAAAGUAAGCUUGAGCAAGAUUGAGGAAAUGAAGAAAAGAAUCGAAGAGUUAGAAACGGCGUUGCAAAAUUGUGAGAUCUAGAUCAAGUACUUGAAAGCAAAUGAAAGUCGUAAUAAUGAACAGCUCCACUACUUUCAAAGUCAAGUUAGGAGCAGAGAUCAUCUUAUGGAGGAAGUUGUGGUCCAGAUUCGAGAAGUAGCUGAUCACAUACAGACUUUAGCAGUACAGGCUGACAUCCUGAGUGUGAAGUAUGAAUUAGAAUCCGAUCGGGGGCAAAAAUUAGCUUUGUUACUUAGAAAGAUUAGGGUUCUGGGUACUAGGGCAAAGUCUUAUUUGUAAUUCACUUUAUGUAAAGAAAUUUAAUUUCUAGUAAAGUUUUCUUAAAUGGAAUUGAAGCAAAAUUGAUGCCUUUUUUGCAUUCAUUUUAUGCAUUGCAUUUGCUUCAUUUACAUUAAAAAAUAUUAAAAGAUUCUAAUUAAUUUAAAUCACUCCUCAGUUAAUCUGGAAACCAACCAACCUACCAAACACCGCUACGGUACUCGAUAAAAAACUAAGGACAUGGACCAGAGGAUGGAAAGGCUAGAACAGUUCCAAAAGGAGAUGCAGGAUCAACUUCAACAACAAAUGAAUGAACAACUUGAGAAAAUUCAGCAAAAAAUGAUGGACAAAAUGAUGGAAUCUCAAGGGAGUAUGAUGGCUGAAUUAACUAAGUUGUUAACUGGAGGAAUUGAUAAAGGAAAGGGCUCUGUUCUCAAUAUUGAAGAAGGAGACAGUGAGGAACCUGUUUAUCCCCCAGGCUUUACCCCUCAGCACGUUGAGGUUUAUCCACGCAAAUCCUCUGUCACCAUGAAGCCUCAACAGUUUCAGGCCGGUGCUGUAACACCAAUGAAUUUUCAGGCUGGAUCAGGCUCUAAUCCCGGAUACAACCUUGUCAAUCCUGCUAUUCCUGACUUCGAUGAAACAACUGGAAGAGAUAAAAUGAAGGAGGAAUUGCCAAAACAGUUAGAAGAGAAGUAUAAAUGGCUGAAAGAAAAAUUUAGAGCGAUGGAAAGUACUGAGAGCUACCCUGGGAUUGAUGCUAAAGAAUUAAGCUUGGUUCUGGAUUUAGUACUCCCUUACAAAUUCAAAAUGCCUGAGUUUGAGAAGUAUAAUGGAACUAGUAGCCUCGAAGCUCAUAUUACCAUGUUUUGUAGGCGGAUGACUGGGUAUGUUAAUAACGACUAGCUACUGAUACAUUGUUUCCAGGAUAGCCUCACGGGGGCAGCAGCCAAGUGGUACAAUCAACUGAGUCGUACCAAGAUUAAUUCAUGGAGGGAUUUAGCACAAGCAUUCAUAAAGCAAUACAAUCACGUAACUGACAUGGUACCUAAUAGAAUCACUCUACGAAACAUAGAAAAGAAGCCCAGUGAAAGUUUUAGGCAAUACGCACAGAGGUGGAGGGAAGUUGCUGUCCAAGUUCAGCCAUCUCUUCUAGAAAGAGAGAUGACCAUGCUUUUCGCUAACACGUUGAAGGCCCCAUUUAUCACACAUAUGUUAGGAAGUGCCACAAAAAGCUUUUCUGACAUAGUUAUGAAUGGCGAAAUGAUAGAAAAUGCUAUCAGAAGUGGGAAGAUUGAUGCUGGAGAAAGUAGCAGAAAGUCGGCCUCGAAGAAGAAGGAAAAUGAGGUCAAUAACACCAGUUCAUAUAGUAAGGGAUAUUCAAAGAAGAUUACGGUGAAUCAACAUGGAAAAGUGGCUGUUAACCAACAAGGAUCAUCAAAACAGGGAUCUGACACAAGACAAAACACGGAGAAGCUUCAAUUUACGCCAAUUCCAAUGUCGUAUAGGGAGCUGUAUCAGAAUCUAUUCAAUGCACACAUGGUUUCCCCUUACUACUUGAAACCUCUACAGCCUCCGUACCUCAAGUGGUACGAUACAAACGUAAGAUGCGAUUAUCACGCGGGAAUCGUAGGGCAUUCCAUAGAACAUUGUACGACAUUCAAAAAGCUGGUUGAAAGACUCAUAGGCAGGGGCGUUGUUAAUUUGGAUGAUUCGCCUAAUACAAAGAAUCCUUUACCUGAUUAUAAUGGAGUGAGCAUGAUAGGUGGGAACAUGGGUAGAAAAAUCAAGGAAGAUAUUGCAGAAGUGAAAAUUCCUUUAAGAUGGGUCUGGAAGAAGAUGAUAGAAAGGGGGUUAUUUGUUUUGGAUUCACAGAAAAGCUUUGAAGGGGUGGAAAACUACUGUGAGUUCCAUCAUGAGGAGGGACAUGAGAUUCAAGAAUGUACAAAAUUCAGAGUCUUGGUUCAAGACAUGAUGGAUGACAAGGAAAUGGAGUUUUACGAAGAAGUUAAGGAGGAAGGGAGUAUCUGCACAUCCGAAUCCAUGAAGGUUCCAAGAGUAGCGCAGCCUGUGGUCAUCAUCUUGCGACCAAAGAAUGAUGAAGUGAGAAUGCCAGUAAUCAUAAUAAAGAAACCUGUAACCUUUUCUUACCAAGAUAGUAGGAAGGUUUCGUGGAACUACGAGUGCAAUACAACUGUCCCUGGAAAGGAGACUACAAAGGACCAGGGUGUGAGUGCCGAUCCAGUACCUGUGAAAGGAAGGGCCGUAACAAUGGAACAAAAAGCUGAGCCUGUGUUAUCUGUCAAUAGGCCAGUGAAAGAGGAAGAAGUUGUGGAAUUCCUCAAAAUUUUGAAGCAUAGUGAGUAUAAUGUCGUCGAAUAGUUGCAUAAACAACUGGCUCGUAUAGUUGUACUAGCCUUACUCUUGAAUUCAGAAGUGCACCGAAGUUCGUUGAUGAAGGUGCUGAACGAGACCUAUGUGGCCAAUGAUAUUUCUGUCGGCAAAUUAGAUCGGUUGGUCAAUAAUAUCAGUGCUGAUAAUUUUAUAUUCUUCAACGAUGAUGAGAUACCACCUGGGGGCAUGGGGUCUACUAAGGCUUUGCAUAUCACUACACGAUGCAAGGGGUAUACUUUGCCAUGUGUGUUAAUUGACAAUGGAUCAGCUUUGAACGUGUUACCAUUAUCCACACUUAACAGGCUUCCCAUAGACAUCUCGCACAUGAAAUCAUGCCAAAACAUAGUGAGGGCGUUUGAUGGUACAGAAAGAAAGGUCAUGAGAAGAAUUGAGAUACCCUUAUUGAUUAGCCCAACAGUUUAUGAGGUGGAUUUUCUUGUGAUGGACAUUAAACCCUCCUACAAUUGCUUAUUGGGGAGACUAUGGAUACAUUCGGCGGGGGCUGUGCCAUCAUCAUUGCAUCAGAAGCUAAAGCUAGUAUCAGAAGGUCGACUGGUGACAAUAAAUGCCAAAGAGGAUAUUAUAGCAGUUGUAUCCAAUGAGGCGCCAUACGUAGAGAUUAAUGACGAGUCGGUGGAAUGUUCUUUUUAAUCUCUGGCAUUUGUAAAUGCAACAUUUAUUCCUGAAGGGAGCAAGAUUCUGGUGCUUAAGAUUUCCAAAACUACAGAGAUUGGUUUGCAACUGUUGGUGGGGAAAAGAGCUUUACCUAGAAGAGGAUUAGGAAAAUAUCUUCAAGGGAAAACUGAGAUUCCAGUGCUAAAAGAGAAACAAGACAACUUUGGCUUAGGGUACAAGCCAGAUAGAGGAUAGAGAAAGAAUGAGUUAGAAAGAAGGCAGGAAAGAAAAAGGGCGCAUUUAGGUGGGGAGAAAAUCAAAUGGGAGCCAAUGAUAAUUCCCCACAUAUCCAAAACCUUCAUAUCUGGAAGGAUCAUUCAUUCUGAGAGAAGGAUAUCAAUUGAGGAAAGCAUCGAAGAGACGUUAGAAAACAUGCACAUCAAUGCCAUAAAUGAGGAUGCAAAUGAAGGAGGGAGUUUGUUAGACAUUUGUCUUUAUGAACCUGGGAGUGUUCUAGAUAAUUGGACUGCAGAAGAAAUAUCUGAAGUCUUUAGAACUGUCUCAGAGUAAUAUUCAGAACAAACUUGUUGUUUUAGCCUAGAAAUAAUAAGAACUCUUUUAUGGAAAAGGCUUAUGUUCAAAUAUCAUUAUUUUAAUAAAAUACAACUCUUUCGAGCAAAUAUUAUUUUAUUCUUUCCAUACGAGUAAAUAUAUUAAAUUAUUCUUUCAUUUAUAAGCAUAUUGCACAAAUAAUUGUACAUAAAUUCAUACAUUCUUUUGUAACCAUAUUAGGUCCUUGUAUAUCAAUGACAUGAAUGACGCUGCUACAAACUCAGAGUUUCCUCUUGAACGAAACAUGUGUUUAGAAGAAUCACAGGACUUUGAAGGUGACGUAGAUGGUGGUUUAUCUUUGGACUUGUUGAGAAUGGUAGAAUAAGAAGAAAAACAAAUUCUACCUCACAAGGAAGCAAUAGAAGUUGUGAGCUUGGAAGAAAGGAAAGAGGUGAAAAUUGGAACUGAGAUUUCUGCAAAGACAAGAUGAGACCUCAUUGAAUUACUCCAAGAAUUCAAAGAUGUCUUCGCAUGGUCAUACCAAGAUAUGCCCGAGUUAAGCACUGACAUUGUAGUGCAUCGCCUACCUAUAAGGGAGGAUUUUAAGCCGGUUCAACAGAAGUUAAGAAGAAUGAGGCCCGAUAUUAUGCUUAAAAUAAAAAGAGUAAGUCAAGAAGCAGUUUGAUGCUGGGUUUUUACAGGAGGUCAAAUAUUCUGAAUGGGUAGCCAACAUCGUACCAAGCCCUAAAAAAGAUGGAAAUGUGCGAAUGUGCAUGGAUUACAGAGAUUUGAACAAAGCUAACCCAAAAGACAAUUUCCCAUUGCCACAUAUCGAUACUUUGGUGGAUAAUAUGGCGGGAUAUUCACUGUUUUUCUUCAUGGAUGGUUUCUCAGGAUACAAUCAGAUAAAGAUGCACCCUGAAGAUAUGGGAAAGACUACAUUCAUUACUUUGUGGGGAACAUUUUGCUACAAAGUAAUGCCGUUCAGAUUAAAGAAUGCGGGAGCAACAUAUCAGAGAGCCAAGGUAGCCUUGUUCCACGACAUGAUGCACAAAGAGAUUGAGGUUUACGUUGAUGAUAUGAUUGCCAAAUCCAGAACAGAGGAGAAGCAUGUGCAGGUCUUGAGAAAAUUAUUCUUAAGACUAAGAAAGCUUCAGCUCAAACUCAAUCCAACAAAAUGCACUUUUGGGGCCAGGUCAGGAAAGUUGAAUGGCUUCGUAGUCAAUAAAAAAGGAAUUGAGAUUGACCCAGACAAAGUCAAGGCAAUACGAGAUUUACCGCCACCACGUACUCAGAAAGAGGUUCGAGGUUUCUUAGGACGACUGAAUUAUAUUACUCGGUUAAUUUCACAAUUGACAGAGAAAUGUGACCCCAUAUUUCAUCUUCUGAAGAAACAUAAUCCAGGUGUUUGGAAUGAAGAAUGCCAGGAAGCUUUUGAAAAGAUAAAGCAAUACCUAUCCAAUACUCCAGUGCUGUCACCACCUAGCCCAAAUAGACCCUUGAUUUUGUAUUUAACGGUGUUCGACAAUUCCAUGGGAUGUGUGCUAGGUCAACAUGAUACGACUGGAAAGAAGGAAAAGGCGAUAUACUAUCUCAGUAAGAAAUUCACUAAUUGUGAAAUGAGAUAUUCAUCUAUCGAAAAAUUAUGUUGUGCCUUGAUUUGGACGACAAAGAGGUUGAGGCAAUACUUACUCUAUCAUACGACUUGACUAAUUUUAAAAUUAGACCCUUUAAAGUAUAUGAUGGAGUCAACGACGUUGAAUGGGAGAAUGGCUAGAUGGCAAAUCUUGCUCUCUGAGUUCGAUAUAGUAUAUGUAAGUCAGAAGGCCAUCAAAGGGAGAGCGAUAGUAGAUUUCUUGGCUAGUGGAGCUGUAGAAUAUUAUGAACAGCUGGACUUUAACUUCUCGAAUGAAGACUUGAUGUAUGUUGCAAAUGCUGAAAAGGGUCCCCAAGAAAUCAAUCUUUGAGGUUAAACUUUAACGGGGCUUUGAAUGCGCUAGGCAAUGGGAUUGGGGCAAUCUUGGUAUCUCCAAAUGGAGAUUAUCAUCCUUUAUCCAGUAAAUUGGACUUCGAUUGCACUAAUAACAUGGCUGAGUAUGAAGCUUGCAUCAUGGGUAUCCGAGCAGCCAUAGAACAGAAAAUUAAGACAUUAGAAGUAUAUGGAGACUCAGCAUUGGUAAUAUACCAAUUAAAAGGGGAAUGUGAAACGAGAGACCCCAAGUUGAUCCGUUAUCAGAGAUUGGUUCUGGAAUUGAUUGAAGAGUUUGACAACAUUACCUUUUUUUAUCUCCCACGAGAAGAAAAUCAGAUGGCUGAUGCUCUUACUACUUUAGCCUCCAUGAUUAAAGUGAAUAAGUUAGAGGACAUGAAGCCCAUUCAAAUUAGUAUUUAUGAGAUCCCGGCCCACUGCUAUAGUAUUGAAGAAGUGGAGAAUGAUAAUCGUCCCUGGUACCAAGACAUAUUGCUAUAUGUGAAGAAUCACGAAUAUCCUGAUCAGGCAACGGAGAAUGAUAAGAGGACAUUGAGGAGACUAGCUAUUGACUAUAUUUUAGAUGGAGAGAUUCUAUACAAAAGGGGAAAUGAUCGAGUACUGUUGAGGUGCGUGGAUGCUGUAGAGGCUAAAGAAAUUUUAGAAGAAGUCCAUGAGGGUAUUUUUGGAACACACGCCAAUGGAUUCACCAUGGCUAGACAGAUCAUGAGAUUCGGAUAUUAUUGGUCCACCAUGGAAGAAGAUUGCAUCAAUUAUGCCAAGAAGUGUCAUAAAUGCCAAAUUUAUGGGGAUAAAAUGCACAUGCCUCCUUCACCUCUUCAUGUUAUGACUUCUCCAUGGCCUUUCUAAAUGUGGGGGAUGGAUGUCAUUGGGCCAAUAUCGCUAAAGGCUUCUAACGGACAUCGUUUCAUUUUUGUGGUUAUUGACUACUUCACUAAGUGGGUAAAACAGCCUCAUAUGCUAAUGUCACGAAGUCAGCAAUCAGUAAGUUUUUGAAGAAAGAGAUCAUAUGUCGAUAUGGAAUGCCUGAAAGGAUCAUAUCUGACAAUGCGCUAAAUUUGAAUAACAGCACAAUAGCGAAAGUCUGCAACCAGUUCAAUAUUAGACACCAUAAUUCAUCACCGUAUCGUCAAAAAAUGAAUGGUGCAAUGGAGGCGGCCAACAAAAAUAUCAAGAAAAUUGUAGCGAAAAUGGCUGAAACUUACAAGGAUUGGCAUGAGAAGUUACCAUUCGCUCUUCUUGCUUACCGAACAUCUAUCAGGACUUCUACUAGAGCAACACCUUUUUCUUUGGUUUAUGAGAUGAAAGCAGUCCUACCCAUUGAAGUUGAAAUUCCUUCCCUCCGGGUAUUGUCUGAGUUAAAUUUGGAUGAGGCUGAAUGGAUCCAAUCUCGGUAUGAUCAGUUGAACUUGAUAGAAGAAAAAAGACUAAAAGCUAUUCGUCACGGUCAAAUGUACUAGAAACGAAUGAUGCGAGCUUAUAACAAAAAGGUUUGUCCUAGAGAGUUUCGUGAGGGGGACUUGGUGUUGAAAAAGAUUCUCCCUCUACAAAAGGAUUUCAGAGGGAAAUUGAUACCAAACUAGGGAGGACCUUAUGUUGUAAAAAAAGGCUUUUUCUAGAGGUGCUUUGAUUUUGAGUGAAAUGAAUGGUAAAAAUUUACCAAAUCUUGUAAAUUCAGAUUUAGUCAAGAAAUAUUUCACUUGAAGGAAAAAAGGAAUCAAAGUGAAAACCCGCAAAUGGCGCUUUGAAUCAAAAAAAAAUGGAGAGGCCAAGGUGAAAACCCGCAAAGGGCACCUUGAGACCAAAGGGAAUUUGAGUUGAUAACUAGAAAAGGGCGGCUCGAGCAUUGAUCAGAUUAGGGUAUAUGGUGAUCUUGCUAUACCUAAAUCAGCAGAAAAAGAUAUACAACAUCUUGGGGCAUCAACGGAGUACUGUAGAUCUCUUAAACAUAUGUUAAAUUCAAAAUGGUCCUUAGUUUGUACGGAGAAGUUCAAGCUGCGAUAUCCAAGGAACCUUGUCUUCAUAUUACUUUUAUCGAAUUUUUUAUUCUUGUAAUACUUCAUUAUUUGUUGUUAUUGAAUAUUUUUUCUUUUCAAGACACUUACUAUCAAUAAAUUCCUUUUCUAUUAUUCGAGUUAGGCCCUGAAUUAAUUCAUCUCUUAGUCAGUAUUUUUUUAUCUUUGUGCAAGCAUGUCGUAUUAGAAUAAUGAUUGAUUGACUAAUAAACUUUCACAAAAAGAGUUUUGCAUAUUACUCUGGGAAUUUCUAAAUAAUUUAGUAACCUGAAACAGGACUAUUGUUUAGAACGCACCAAGCUUAAAAGAUGAGAUGUUUAAGAAGGAAAAAGUCCAAAUUAAGACUGUUCUUUUGGAUUUUGUUGUCUAAAUAUUGAUUGAAUGAGAUGACAAGAAGUCUUGAUUAGUGAUAGAGCUUCAAAGGAUAGGAGGAAGCUCCCUUUAGAAAGGAAAUAUUUCAUUUGUGCAUGAGCCUUUGGUACGAUACCCUGGGAAUGGUGUAAGGGACCAGAGAGAUUUAGAUCCUGCAUCCUUGAAUUAUGAUAAUAGAAGAUUGAGAAAAGCCAAAUUUUAUUCUACCCUUGGGUCACAGUGGAAGAAAGAUGGUACAAAAUUUGCGUCCCAGUGGAUUGAACUUUGAGGUUUACAGUGGGGGCAAUCUAACUAAGUGUUUCUUUGAAGACGCCAGCUGAGCAGGAGGGCGUUGUAGCACGUCAGUGAUAAAGCCUUGAUAAAAUUUGAGCAAUGAUAACCUAAGUGAUGAAAGAGGAUCAUUCUCGAAAAAAAUGACAUUAUGCAUUCAUUCAAAUGUCAUUCAUACACGUCUAGUUAGGGGCAUUUGAUUCAUUCUGAUCAUGACAUCUUAAUCACUAGGCAUAAUUAGGUUCAUGAAUUGAAUUAUAACAGGUCAUGUUCCCCAGAGAACAAACUAGUGAAACUCUAGCCUUAUCUCCUUGAGCAGUAGUGGAAUAGGUUGAAAAUAUUAGAUCUUGCUUUCCUGUACUGGCAGUGAAGCAGAUCGAAGACACUAGUCUUUUCGCCUCGACAUUGCAAUGGCAAAGAUUGAAGUCACAACGACAACUGUUAUUUCCCUGGCGUUGUAGCGGAGCAGAUUGAAGUCACGACGGCGAAUCUUAUCUCCCUAGCGCUAAGGCUUGGCUUAGCUGAAGUGGAGUGGAUUGAAGCUAUGGGCGGCGAAUCCUAUCUCUUUGGCAUUACAGUGAACCAGAUUGAAACCACGACGGUGAAUCUUACUCCCUGGUGGUGUAGUGGAACAGAUUAAAGCUACGACGGUGAAUCUCGUUUCCCCAACAUUGCAAUUUGAAAGAUUAAAGCCGUAAUGGUGAAUCUUAUUUCCCUGGCGUUGUAGCGGAGCAGAUUAAAGCCACAACGGCAAAUCUUAUCUCCCUGGCGUUAAAGCUUAGAUUAGCUGAAGAGGAGUGGAUUGAAGCUGUGGGCAGCGAAUCCUAUCUCUUUGGCAUUACAGUGGAACAAAUUAAAGCCGCAACGGCGAAUCUUACUCCCCUGGCAGUGUAGUGGAACAGAUUGAAGCUACGACAGCAAAUCUUGUUUCCCAAACAUUGUAAUUUUGAAAAAAUUGAAGACGACAAAUCUUAUCUCCCUGAAGUUACAGUGGAGCAGAUUAAAGCCAAUAAUCCUAUCUCCCUGAUGUUGCGGUGGAGUGGAUUAAAACCACAGAUCUUAUCUCUCUGAAGGUGCAGUAGAGUAGAUCACAUCGGGUCUUAUCUCCCUGAAGUUACAGUGGAGCAGACUUAAGAAAGCAAGUCUUAUUCCCCUAAAAUUGCAGUGGGGCAGGCUAAAUAAACAAAUCCUAUCUCCCUAAAGUUGUAGUGGAGUGGAUUAGAAUGAUGGACCUUAUCUCUUUGAAAUUACGGUGGGGCAGAUCGCAUCGAAUUCAUCUUUAAAUUGCAGCAGGUCAAGUUGAAGCAAUAAGUCUUAUCUCCCUGAAGUUGCAGUGGAGCAGAGUAAAGAUGACAAAAUUUUGAAAAACUAGAACGUACAAACCCUAUCUCCUUGAUAUUGCAGUGGAGUGGACUGAAGCACUAGUUCCUAUGCUUCUGAAGAUGCAGUAGGAAGGAAUGAGGCUACUUGAAGAAGAAGAGUACCAAAGUCUAGCACGACCGGGAAAAGUUAGGCAUUUUUAAAGUCUUUGCUCUGUUCCCGUUACAUGAUAAUGAGCAAAGAGGGGCAGCUGUAAUACCUAAUUUUUACCGAGCAUAAACAAAGUCCAGUGUUUUUUACAAAUCCAGAACAAAACAAGUUAGCCCAGAAUACAAGGCCCAAAAUACAAGAACAGUGGCCCAAAUCCACUGGCCCAAAAACAGUCAGAAACCCUAGGGUUUCAGGGGUGAACUCGUGCUGCACGGCCGCCUCGCACUCCUUACGCAGCCAAGAGCCGAAUCUUCACCUGCAAGGAAUAAACACAAGAAAGGAAAUAAAAUCAAAUAUUUGCAAGAUCAAAUCAAUAUGGACAGAUUUAUUUCCUUAUAUUUUUUCAUUAUGGCUAUAAAAUAGCCCUGGAUAUACUGUAGUACGGAUUCGAAAAAUCAAAUAAAAAAGGGAGAUUAUUUUCACAGCAAAAACUGAGUUCAACAUUGAGAGCAAAAAUCAACCCGAAAAGGUUAACAUCUACAAUUUUAUUUAUUUAUUUUUAAAAUCUACUGUCGUUAUUACCUUUUUUUAUCCAUAUACGAACAAAAUGAGUAAAAAGAAGACAGAAACAACCUGUAUUGGUGUCCAGAGCGCCGUGGAAGGUCGAGGUAGCCGUCUCCGAGGAUAGACGGUCGGAAGCCGAAGGGUUUUUCUUGAGAUUUAGGGCUUUUUCAGUGAUAUUUUGAAGGAUCUACACCCAGAUUUGGGCUUUGAGGGGUCGGAAGGGCUGAGAGGGGCAUUUUCCCCCUUUUUCGGCCACCGCAGACGGCGGUGCCGACUUCGGAGGCUGGCGGUCGGCGUGGUGGCCGAUGACUAGCCGAUGACCGGCCGAUGACCAGGCCCUGGUCGGGCGUGCCGGGGGGGAGAGAACUUUUUUGAAGGUUUUUUUGUUUUUUUUUUAAAAGAAUGAAAAUGAAUUUUUUAACCGAAUUUUGGCUUAUAUAGCCUUUGAAAUGGCGUCGUUUCAUUAGGCCUCCCCAGGCGCUAAAACGACGCCGUUUUAGGGAGGCCGACCCGAAUCUGACCUGACCCAGCCCAGGAUCCACGUGUUUUUAUGCGGAGGGGUAAAUUGCGCUUUUAGCCCCUCCGCCUUUUAAUAUUUUUACAAUCAAGAUUAUUUGAGUUUUAAAAUUCGCCUUUAAUCUAUUUUCAAUUUCAAUUUGGCACCUUAUGGAACGACGCUGUUUAGAGGGAAAGGGGAAAUUACCCUUGCAGUCCCUCAAUGGUUAUUCGCGCGUUCGAUAUGGUCCUUUGGGCUUUAUUUAUUUGCGGAUUUACCCCAGAUUUUUUAAUUGCAGUUCAAUUUAGUUUUUUUCUUUUCUUUCUUAAAAUUAAUUAAUUCUAAUAAUGUAAUUAUUAUUCUUAUUUUUGUAACUUUUAUAUGUAAUAUUUUUUAAAAAAAAUCUAUAUAUAUAUAUAUGUAUAUUUGUUUUUUAUGUACAUUUAUAUUUUUUUCCUCAUAUUUAUAUAUAUACGCAUAUUUAUCUUUUUCAUUUAAUUAAUUUUGAUAAUGUAGUUAUUAUUUAAUUGUUUUUAAUAUAUUUUAUAUGUAUAUGUAUACAUAUUUUUUUGUUUUCAUAAAUGCAUUAUGUAAUAUAUAUAAGUUUUAUAACCCAAAAUUUUGCUUGUAACUCAUAUAUAUAUAUAAUCUUCAUAAUUUCCAUGUGUACAUUAUAUACCUUCUUUUCUUUAUUUAUCUUGCUUGCUUUCUUCAUUCGCUAUUUAAUUGUGCUUACAUUUAUAUUUUUUUAUUCAUUGGAUAUUUUGCAUGUCAUAGAUUAUUUUUUUUAUGUAUAUUCAUUUCGUUUAUUUAUUUGUUUAUAUUAUUUCUAUGCCAUUGUCGUAUUUGUCAUUGUGACAUUUAUACAUACAAUAUAACAUUACAUCAUCUUUUUACUCGGGUUUAAAAAUAGAAUUUUUCAAAAUAGAGAUAAUACUCGUAUUUAGGAUUUUCAAGAAAAUUGAGCCCUAACGUAUUGGGUUCCGAUUUUCUUCGUUAAAUCUAACAAUCAAGAAUUGCUCUUUGAUCAAAAAUAAAAUGAAAAAGCUUGUUGUUGGGAAUUUAAUAUGUUGUGUCCUAACGCAUUGGAUGUGACAUAUUGAUUUCUCGAGACAAAGAUUUUUUUAAAGAUAUAUAUUAAUAAAGGAAAUAUUCAAUGUUUGGGAUGUUGAGAAAUUGUGCCAUAACAUAUUGGGCUGCGGUUUCAUCAUAAAUCUUAAACAAUUGAAUAUUCUUUUAAAUUUUAUCACACAAAUCUUUUGGACGAACUCAUCUUGAAGAAAUAAAAUAUCGUGCCCUAACGUAUUGGGUGUGAUGUUUUCUGUUUCAAAAUGAGGGAGUCCUAAUAAAUAAUUUAAUUUAAUUAAGGAUCAUAUUUUUAACUCUCGACGUUAAGACAUUAAUUCAUCAAUUUGGUACCAAUUUUUGGGCGUUACGAGGGUGUUAAUCCUUCCUCGAACGUAACUGACUCCCAAACCUGUUUUUCUAAAAACUCAUAGACCAAAGUUGUUUUAGGUUAUCGAAUCACACCUUAAUAAAAGAUUGGUGGCGACUCUAAAUUUUCAUCGACAACUAAAUUUUUGUUUUUUUUUUCAAAAAUAAAAAUGGUUUCGACAAGAAAGAAGCACACGAAAGUUUUUAACAAAGGAAACACUCCUAUUGCACAAGAUUUAUUUCUUCAGCAAUUCAUUAAAAUUCUAGGGUAACAAAUGAAGAUACAGGGGAGAAGGACUUUGAGAUUUGAUAAGACAGAUUCUAGAGUUCCAAAACAUUUUAAGAAAAGAAAGCUACUGCAUUUCUCAAGAAAACGCAAAAAUAGACGAUGCUGAUAUAUAAUGAUAUUGAAAAAUACUUACAAGAAUUGGGAAACACAGGUUUUACACCCUAAGAACAAAAAAGAGAUACAAAAAGCAUACAUAGGAUACAAAAAGGUUGGCUGGAAGCAGAGUAUAGAAUAGUAGUGACCAAAAUACAUCUCUCUAACAAAAUCAAAGAAUCAAUAUAAUCAGUUUUUAGGGCGUCAUAAACAACUCAAAAUAAACAAACCAAGGUACCUUCUCCUGGGUGCCUUUUAAGCUUUUAAGCACUGGAGGGUUGCCUCAAAGCAGUAGCAGCUAUCUUGAAUGAAAAAUCAAAUUAGACUUCCCAGAGAUCAAACCAUUCUGAUAAGAUAGAAAAAAAGAAGCAAAGCAACAAAAGAAAACAGAGCAGAGCAAAGCAGAAUAGAGAAAGAGGCACAAAAGCUAGAAAUUUCGCUCUUUCAAAGCCAUUUUUUUUACUUACCUGCGGAAGAGGAAAUAAUUAAAGAGAAGAAGAAGAAAAGAAACUCUCACCAACGGAAGAGGAACAAAGAAUAGGAAAGAGCUUUGAAAGCUGAAAAUGUGAAAACAAAACGUUUUUGGAAAGAACCAGCAGAGGGGAAAGAACGUUUGUGGGAGAAGACAGGUUAAUUUGGUCAAUUUUCAGCCAAAAACACUUCAAGUUGAAGAAAAGGAGAAAUUUUUAGCUUCUCCAUCUGGAGAAAAGCCCUUUUUUGAUGGUGAAAUUUUUACGUGAAAGGAGGGCGUUCUUCAUUCCUUUUAAGAGAAAAGGACUUUUUAUUGAAAAAGUCCUUCUAAAACGUGUAGAAGAACGAGAUCUAAG
Molecule: long non-coding RNA, 17714 nt
Filed under: Gossypium barbadense (sea-island cotton)
Lineage: Eukaryota; Viridiplantae; Streptophyta; Magnoliopsida; Malvales; Malvaceae
Description: long non-coding RNA (GBAR_LNC019109)
Source: RNAcentral